This is a long non-coding RNA of Thalassophryne amazonica, 1254 nucleotides long. RefSeq lists it as uncharacterized. Lineage: Eukaryota; Metazoa; Chordata; Actinopteri; Batrachoidiformes; Batrachoididae. The record is from RefSeq and is a predicted model, not a curated record. The transcript is spliced from 2 exons.
CGGUCAGCCGCGCAGCCAAUCAGAUGUCAAAGCCGCUGACGUCACAGACGAAACAAACAGGUGCUGUGUGGGAGUCAUUGGAGAGAGAUCGCCAUUCACAACUUCCUCAAGGCAGCAACAGCGCUGCACGCACAGCGUCAGUCAAGAUAAAGCUACUUUUCCGAACCGAGUGAAAGAAUUAAAAGAGCGAGUAAAGUGACACACAUCAGUUUCCGAGCCAAAGCGCAGCAGAAACGCUUGCUGGAGCGACUGUUUUAAAGCUUCAGUGAGCCGUUCAUUAAUUCAUUUUCGUUUCAACCAAAACAACCAAUUAAAAAAAAAAUACCUGUGAGGUUUUGACAAACAUGAAUGUGGAUUUCUUGUGGCGCGGCACCGUUAAAGGUGCUCGUUAGACUCCAAGCGUCCCCUUUAUUUUCUGGCCUAGCAACAAGCAGCGACCUCACGCCCGCCAUUUGGAGUGCUGCAAACUACACUCACAUUUCGAGAAGGGUUUGGAUGCUGCCUGUUAGCUGCUAGCUAAUGUAAACAACAUGACAGGCUAACGGCGAAGCACAUGCAGCUAGCUGUUAGCGAUCCGGGCUAGUAGCUGCUGCCGACACGGUCUGCCAGCGGGGAGCGUCAACUCUCACUGCUGUGGAGCUCUACGAUCAAGUCCGGAUACCAGCGAUUGAUGUGGAAAUACAUGUCGAUUGACUGCAUAUUACACUUAAAGCAUCUGCUAAUUGCAGCUAACGUUAGCUUAGUGAAUGGAUCCAUCUGAACUCACCCCUCUCCUAAACAGUAGGCUGAAGUUCGCAGAUGAUGCUUUGAUAAUCCGAUACGUGCUCUGGACCACUAUUACCUUUUGGCUGGAAGAGAUACCGAAGCAGAUCAUGUGCAGAAAUCAAAUUAACAGAGACGUUGUUUUUUCUUUUCUUUUCUUUUAAAGAAAUCAUUCAAGCUGUAGAUUGCAAACUGAAAAUCUCCCCCGGAGAGGAAAACAAUCUCCGUGAGGGGCGUGGCUACUACAAAUAUUCCAGCCUAUGUCGCACGUCACUGGCCAGUUUAACCCAAAGGAUCUCCCGGAAGGGAGGAGCCAAGCGUCCGGAUUGUGAAGUGGCACCGUCAAUCAUGGAUUUAUCCUAUCUACUUUGCCACGCCCACUUGACUGAGAAGCGCGACAAUAGCAACGUCUAAAUAAAUGAAUGCUUAGAGGGAGUGUCAGAUUUUUAGUCCCAAAUAAAAUGACUCAGACAUUAAAAUUUUACUCAUUUA